CAACAAGCUUGCUUGUUGGGGUUGUAGGACACUCUAUACGGAGUUACAAAGGACGACAUUAGACGAAUCAUCUGGAAAGAUGAAUCAAAGAAGGUAAUAAUCCUGUAGUCGAAAAUGUUGUCUCUCUUGAGUGGAUCCUGAGUACGACGGAGCACGUGAAAUUCCGUCGGAAUCUGGGAGGACCAUCUCCUAAGGCUAAAUACUCUCUAGUGACCGAUAGUGAACCAGUACCGUGAGGGAAAGGUGAAAAGCACCCCGGAAGGGGAGUGAAAUAGAACCUGAAACCGUGUGCUUACAAGUAGUCAGAGCCCGUUAAUGGGUGAUGGCGUGCCUUUUGUAGAAUGAACCGGCGAGUUACGAUUUGAUGCAAGGUUAAGCAGUAAAUGUGGAGCCGUAGCGAAAGCGAGUCUGAAUAGGGCGUUUAGUAUUUGGUCGUAGACCCGAAACCAGGUGAUCUACCCUUGGUCAGGUUGAAGUUCAGGUAACACUGAAUGGAGGACCGAACCGACUUACGUUGAAAAGUGAGCGGAUGAACUGAGGGUAGCGGAGAAAUUCCAAUCGAACCUGGAGAUAGCUGGUUCUCUCCGAAAUAGCUUUAGGGCUAGCCUCAAGUGAUGAUUAUUGGAGGUAGAGCACUGUUUGGACGAGGGGCCCCUCUCGGGUUACCGAAUUCAGACAAACUCCGAAUGCCAAUUAAUUUAACUUGGGAGUCAGAACAUGGGUGAUAAGGUCCGUGUUCGAAAGGGAAACAGCCCAGACCACCAGCUAAGGUCCCAAAAUAUAUGUUAAGUGGAAAAGGAUGUGGCGUUGCCCAGACAACUAGGAUGUUGGCUUAGAAGCAGCCAUCAUUUAAAGAGUGCGUAAUAGCUCACUAGUCGAGUGACACUGCGCCGAAAAUGUACCGGGGCUAAACAUAUUACCGAAGCUGUGGAUUGUCCUUUGGACAAUGGUAGGAGAGCGUUCUAAGGGCGUUGAAGCAUGAUCGUAAGGACAUGUGGAGCGCUUAGAAGUGAGAAUGCCGGUGUGAGUAGCGAAAGACGGGUGAGAAUCCCGUCCACCGAUUGACUAAGGUUUCCAGAGGAAGGCUCGUCCGCUCUGGGUUAGUCGGGUCCUAAGCUGAGGCCGACAGGCGUAGGCGAUGGAUAACAGGUUGAUAUUCCUGUACCACCUAUAAUCGUUUUAAUCGAUGGGGGGACGCAGUAGGAUAGGCGAAGCGUGCGAUUGGAUUGCACGUCUAAGCAGUAAG
Molecule: ribosomal RNA, 1246 nt
Filed under: Staphylococcus aureus
Lineage: Bacteria; Bacillati; Bacillota; Bacilli; Caryophanales; Staphylococcaceae
Description: partial 23S ribosomal RNA
Rfam family: Bacterial large subunit ribosomal RNA
Source: RNAcentral